UCAGCUCUCUUUGCCUUUUGGCUUAGAUCAAGUGCAGUAACUGUCCAUCUGCCUUUGACACGGCAGAGGCUCCUAGGAGGAGGGAGUCGCUUGCUCUGCAUUAUUUGGAACUGGCCUGGAGAGCGCUGGGCUCUGCUUAUCUUCCUGGGCAGGCACAGUGCCGCUCUUAUUGCACUGACUGGAGCUGGCGGAAACCUUA
Molecule: small nuclear RNA, 199 nt
Filed under: Macrophomina phaseolina MS6
Lineage: Eukaryota; Fungi; Ascomycota; Dothideomycetes; Botryosphaeriales; Botryosphaeriaceae
Description: U2 spliceosomal RNA
Rfam family: U2 spliceosomal RNA
About the family: U2 is a small nuclear RNA (snRNA) component of the spliceosome (involved in pre-mRNA splicing). Complementary binding between U2 snRNA (in an area lying towards the 5' end but 3' to hairpin I) and the branchpoint sequence (BPS) of the intron results the bulging out of an unpaired adenosine, on the BPS, which initiates a nucleophilic attack at the intronic 5' splice site, thus starting the first of two transesterification reactions that mediate splicing.
Source: Rfam by way of RNAcentral